RNAcentral lists this microRNA precursor (149 nucleotides) under Gossypium arboreum. RNAcentral describes it as "MIR7502 microRNA precursor family". It matches the Rfam family "MIR7502 microRNA precursor family". Lineage: Eukaryota; Viridiplantae; Streptophyta; Magnoliopsida; Malvales; Malvaceae. The record is from Rfam by way of RNAcentral.
UAUCAAAAAUUUCAUUCAUUUUUACUAUUAAAAAUUGGUGUAGCUAAUGGAAUAACCAGACAAUUAAACGUGGCGCUAAUAUUACGUUUACCUCAUGUUGGCGUACAAGAACUAAUUCGUAACAGUAGAAAUGGUUAAAAUUUUUAAUA